GAUGAACGCUAGCUACAGGCUUAACACAUGCAAGUCGAGGGGAAACGGCAUUGAGUGCUUGCACUCUUUGGACGUCGACCGGCGCACGGGUGAGUAACGCGUAUCCAACCUUCCCAUUACUGUGGGAUAACCUGCCGAAAGGCAGACUAAUACCGCAUAGUCUUCGAUGACGGCAUCAGAUUUGAAGUAAAGAUUUAUCGGUAAUGGAUGGGGAUGCGUCUGAUUAGCUUGUUGGCGGGGUAACGGCCCACCAAGGCUACGAUCAGUAGGGGUUCUGAGAGGAAGGUCCCCCACAUUGGAACUGAGACACGGUCCAAACUCCUACGGGAGGCAGCAGUGAGGAAUAUUGGUCAAUGGACGGAAGUCUGAACCAGCCAAGUAGCGUGCAGGAUGACGGCCCUAUGGGCUGUAAACUGCUUUUGUAUGGGGAUAAAGUUAGGGACGUGUCCCUAUUUGCAGGUACCAGACGAAUAAGGACCGGCUAAUUCCGUG
This 492-nucleotide ribosomal RNA is filed under the name uncultured bacterium. RNAcentral describes it as "partial 16S ribosomal RNA". It matches the Rfam family "Bacterial small subunit ribosomal RNA", at positions 28 to 507 of the family's 1533-position model. The record is from RNAcentral.